Molecule: ribosomal RNA, 564 nt
Filed under: uncultured beta proteobacterium
Lineage: Bacteria; Pseudomonadati; Pseudomonadota; Betaproteobacteria
Description: bacterial SSU rRNA
Rfam family: Bacterial small subunit ribosomal RNA
Source: RNAcentral
ACUCCUACGGGAGGCAGCAGUGGGGAAUAUUGGACAAUGGGGGCAACCCUGACGCAGCAACGCCGCGUGGAGGAUGAAGGUCUUUGGAUUGUAAACUCCUUUCGAUCGGGACGAUGAUGACGGUACCGGAAGAAUAAGCACCGGCUAACUACGUGCCAGCAGCCGCGGUAAUACGUAGGGUGCAAGCGUUAAUCGGAAUUACUGGGCGUAAAGCGUGCGCAGGCGGUGAUGUAAGACAGUUGUGAAAUCCCCGGGCUCAACCUGGGAACUGCAUCUGUGACUGCAUCGCUGGAGUGCGGCAGAGGGGGAUGGAAUUCCGCGUGUAGCAGUGAAAUGCGUAGAUAUGCGGAGGAACACCGAUGGCGAAGGCAAUCCCCUGGGCCUGCACUGACGCUCAUGCACGAAAGCGUGGGGAGCAAACAGGAUUAGAUACCCUGGUAGUCCACGCUGUAAACGAUGGGCACUAGGUGUGGGGGGUGUCGACUCCCUCCGUGCCGAAGCUAACGCAUUAAGUGCCCCGCCUGGGGAGUACGGCCGCAAGGCUAAAACUUAAAGGAAUUGACG